RNAcentral lists this ribosomal RNA (354 nucleotides) under uncultured bacterium. Its description in RNAcentral is "bacterial SSU rRNA". It matches the Rfam family "Bacterial small subunit ribosomal RNA", at positions 527 to 881 of the family's 1533-position model. The record is from RNAcentral.
GUAUGGUGCAAGCGUUAUCCGGAUUUACUGGGUGUAAAGGGAGCGUAGACGGCUGUGCAAGUCUGAAGUGAAAGGCAUGGGCUCAACCUGUGGACUGCUUUGGAAACUGUGCAGCUAGAGUGUCGGAGAGGUAAGCGGAAUUCCUAGUGUAGCGGUGAAAUGCGUAGAUAUUAGGAGGAACACCAGUGGCGAAGGCGGCUUGCUGGGCCUUUACUGACGCUGAGGCUCGAAAGCGUGGGGAGCAAACAGGAUUAGAUACCCUGGUAGUCCACGCCGUAAACGAUGAUCACUAGGUGUGGGGAGUUGAACCUUUCCGUGCCGGAGUUAACACAAUAAGUGAUCCACCUGGGGAGU